CGUGGUGUGCGCCGCCAGCAACGGGCACGGCGCCGCCAGGAUGCAGCUGCGCUUCCACCACCCAGCGGGGCUGGUCUGGGCCAAGGUGGGCCCGGUGGGCGCGGUCGUCGCCUUCGCCGUCGUCAUCGCGCUCGUCUGCUACCUGAGCCAGAGCCGCCGCAAGAAGGCGUCAGGAAGCCCCGAGGUGACCCCGGUGACCCCGGCGGGGGGGCGGGACCCGGAGCCACGCCCACUGCAGGUGAGGGGGC
Onychostruthus taczanowskii (white-rumped snowfinch) is the source of this 248-nucleotide long non-coding RNA. RefSeq lists it as uncharacterized. The transcript is spliced from 3 exons. The record is from RefSeq and is a predicted model, not a curated record. NCBI's taxonomy places the organism in Eukaryota, Metazoa, Chordata, Aves, Passeriformes, Passeridae.